AGUGGAUGGGGAGCAACCUAGUUGUGCGUGUGUAAAGGUAGUGCCAAGAAAAGCGGUGAUCAUGAUGAAAAUCAAUUCCCGGUACCCGAAACCGACACAGGUGGGCAAGUAGAGAAUACUAAGGGGCGCGAGGUAACUCUCUCCAAGGAACUCGGCAAAAUGACCCCGUAACUUAGGGAGAAGGGGUGCCACCGAGAGGUGGUCGCAGUGAAGAGGCCCAGGCGACUGUUUAGCAAAAACAUAGGUCUCUGCAAACUCGAAAGAGGAGGUAUAGGGGCUGACGCCUGCCCAGUGCCGGAAGGUUAAAGAAGUUGGUCAGUCUUAGGAUAAAGCUAGCGACUGAAGCCCCGGUGAACGGCGGCCGUAACUAUAACGGUCCUAAGGUAGCGAAAUUCCUUGUCGGGUAAGUUCCGACCCGCACGAAAGGCGUAACGAUCUGGGCGCUGUCUCGGAGAGAGGCUCGGCGAAAUAGGAUUGUCUGUGAAGAUACGGACUACCUGCAUUUGGACAGAAAGACCCUAUGAAGCUUUACUAUAGCUUGGAAUUGUGUUCGGGCUUCCUGUGCGCAGGAUAGGUGGGAGGCGAAGAAGGUAUUCUUGUGGGGAUACUGGAGCCAACGGUGAGAUACCACUCUCAGGAGGCUAGAAUUCUAACUUAAUUAAGGACGGUUUCAGGUGGGUAGUUUGACUGGGGCGGUCGCCUCCAAAAAGGUAACGGAGGCGUACAAAGGUUCCCUCAGACUGGUUGGAAAUCAGUCGCAGAGUGCAAAGGUAGAAGGGAGCUUGACUGCGAGAAGUACAGUUCGAGCAGGGUGGAAACACGGUCUUAGUGAUCCGACGGUGCUGUGUGGAAGGGCCGUCGCUCAACGGAUAAAAGUUACUCUAGGAUAACAGGCUGAUCUCCCCCAAGAGUUCACAUCGACGGGGAGGUUUGGCACCUCGAUGUCGGCUCAUCGCAACCUGGGGCGGAAGUACGUCCCAAGGGUUGGGCUGUUCGCCCAUUAAAGCGGUACGUGAGCUGGGUUCAGAACGUCGUGAGACAGUUCGGUCCAUAUCCGAUGUAGGCGUGAGAAUAUUGAGAGGAGCCUUCCUUAGUACGAGAGGACCGGGAAGGACGCACCGCUGGUGUACCUGUUAUGAUGCCAAUUGUAAACGCAGGGUAGCCAAGUGCGGAGAGGAUAACCGCUGAAAGCAUCUAAGUGGGAAGCCCACCUCAAGAUGAGUAUUCUGGUGUAAGGUCACGGGAAGACGACCCGUAAAUAGGCACGAGGUGGAAGUGCAGAGAUGUAUGAAGCCGAAGUGUACUAAUAGACCGUCGGCUUGACC
Molecule: ribosomal RNA, 1325 nt
Filed under: metagenome
Description: bacterial LSU rRNA
Rfam family: Bacterial large subunit ribosomal RNA
Source: RNAcentral